RNAcentral lists this ribosomal RNA (701 nucleotides) under Cladosporium cladosporioides. RNAcentral's name for it is "SSU rRNA". It matches the Rfam family "Eukaryotic small subunit ribosomal RNA", at positions 86 to 797 of the family's 1831-position model. Lineage: Eukaryota; Fungi; Ascomycota; Dothideomycetes; Cladosporiales; Cladosporiaceae. The record is from RNAcentral.
ACUGCGAAUGGCUCAUUAAAUCAGUUAUCGUUUAUUUGAUAGUACCUUACUACAUGGAUAACCGUGGUAAUUCUAGAGCUAAUACAUGCUAAAAACCUCGACUUCGGAAGGGGUGUAUUUAUUAGAUAAAAAACCAAUGCCCUUCGGGGCUCCUUGGUGAAUCAUAAUAACUUAACGAAUCGCAUGGCCUUGCGCCGGCGAUGGUUCAUUCAAAUUUCUGCCCUAUCAACUUUCGAUGGUAGGAUAGUGGCCUACCAUGGUAUCAACGGGUAACGGGGAAUUAGGGUUCGACUCCGGAGAGGGAGCCUGAGAAACGGCUACCACAUCCAAGGAAGGCAGCAGGCGCGCAAAUUACCCAAUCCCGACACGGGGAGGUAGUGACAAUAAAUACUGAUACAGGGCUCUUUUGGGUCUUGUAAUUGGAAUGAGUACAAUUUAAAUCCCUUAACGAGGAACAAUUGGAGGGCAAGUCUGGUGCCAGCAGCCGCGGUAAUUCCAGCUCCAAUAGCGUAUAUUAAAGUUGUUGCAGUUAAAAAGCUCGUAGUUGAACCUUGGGCCUGGCUGGCCGGUCCGCCUCACCGCGUGUACUGGUCCGGCCGGGCCUUUCCUUCUGGGGAACCUCAUGCCCUUCACUGGGCGUGUUGGGGAACCAGGACUUUUACUUUGAAAAAAUUAGAGUGUUCAAAGCAGGCCUUUGCUCG